GACGAACGCUGGCGGCGUGCUUAACACAUGCAAGUCGAACGAAGUCCAUCCAGCUUGCUGGGGAAGACUUAGUGGCGAACGGGUGAGGAACACGUGAAGAACUUGCCCCGGAGAGAGGGACAACAGCGGGAAACUGCUGCUAAUACCUCAUGUUGAAACAGAAUCGCAUGGUUUUGUUUUGAAAUGAAUUUCGCUCCGGGAGAGCUUCGCGGACUAUCAGCUUGUUGGUGAGGUAACGGCUCACCAAGGCUACGACGGAUAGCUGGUCUGAGAGGACGACCAGCCACACUGGGACUGAGACACGGCCCAGACUCCUACGGGAGGCAGCAGUGGGGAAUCUUGCGCAAUGGGCGAAAGCCUGACGCAGCAACGCCGCGUGCGGGAUGACGGCCUUCGGGUUGUAAACCGCUUUCAGUUGGAACGAUAGUGACGGUACCAACAGAAGAAGCUCCGGCUAACUACGUGCCAGCAGCCGCGGUAACAC
RNAcentral lists this ribosomal RNA (484 nucleotides) under uncultured bacterium. RNAcentral describes it as "bacterial SSU rRNA". It matches the Rfam family "Bacterial small subunit ribosomal RNA", at positions 28 to 526 of the family's 1533-position model. The record is from RNAcentral.